This 1872-nucleotide ribosomal RNA is filed under the name Escherichia coli. RNAcentral's name for it is "partial 23S ribosomal RNA". It matches the Rfam family "Bacterial large subunit ribosomal RNA", at positions 943 to 2798 of the family's 2925-position model. Lineage: Bacteria; Pseudomonadati; Pseudomonadota; Gammaproteobacteria; Enterobacterales; Enterobacteriaceae. The record is from RNAcentral.
CCCGAUGCAAACUGCGAAUACCGGAGAAUGUUAUCACGGGAGACACACGGCGGGUGCUAACGUCCGUCGUGAAGAGGGAAACAACCCAGACCGCCAGCUAAGGUCCCAAAGUCAUGGUUAAGUGGGAAACGAUGUGGGAAGGCCCAGACAGCCAGGAUGUUGGCUUAGAAGCAGCCAUCAUUUAAAGAAAGCGUAAUAGCUCACUGGUCGAGUCGGCCUGCGCGGAAGAUGUAACGGGGCUAAACCAUGCACCGAAGCUGCGGCAGCGACGCUUAUGCGUUGUUGGGUAGGGGAGCGUUCUGUAAGCCUGUGAAGGUGUGCUGUGAGGCAUGCUGGAGGUAUCAGAAGUGCGAAUGCUGACAUAAGUAACGAUAAAGCGGGUGAAAAGCCCGCUCGCCGGAAGACCAAGGGUUCCUGUCCAACGUUAAUCGGGGCAGGGUGAGUCGACCCCUAAGGCGAGGCCGAAAGGCGUAGUCGAUGGGAAACAGGUUAAUAUUCCUGUACUUGGUGUUACUGCGAAGGGGGGACGGAGAAGGCUAUGUUGGCCGGGCGACGGUUGUCCCGGUUUAAGCGUGUAGGCUGGUUUUCCAGGCAAAUCCGGAAAAUCAAGGCUGAGGCGUGAUGACGAGGCACUACGGUGCUGAAGCAACAAAUGCCCUGCUUCCAGGAAAAGCCUCUAAGCAUCAGGUAACAUCAAAUCGUACCCCAAACCGACACAGGUGGUCAGGUAGAGAAUACCAAGGCGCUUGAGAGAACUCGGGUGAAGGAACUAGGCAAAAUGGUGCCGUAACUUCGGGAGAAGGCACGCUGAUAUGUAGGUGAAGUCCCUCGCGGAUGGAGCUGAAAUCAGUCGAAGAUACCAGCUGGCUGCAACUGUUUAUUAAAAACACAGCACUGUGCAAACACGAAAGUGGACGUAUACGGUGUGACGCCUGCCCGGUGCCGGAAGGUUAAUUGAUGGGGUCAGCGCAAGCGAAGCUCUUGAUCGAAGCCCCGGUAAACGGCGGCCGUAACUAUAACGGUCCUAAGGUAGCGAAAUUCCUUGUCGGGUAAGUUCCGACCUGCACGAAUGGCGUAAUGAUGGCCAGGCUGUCUCCACCCGAGACUCAGUGAAAUUGAACUCGCUGUGAAGAUGCAGUGUACCCGCGGCAAGACGGAAAGACCCCGUGAACCUUUACUAUAGCUUGACACUGAACAUUGAGCCUUGAUGUGUAGGAUAGGUGGGAGGCUUAGAAGUGUGGACGCCAGUCUGCAUGGAGCCGACCUUGAAAUACCACCCUUUAAUGUUUGAUGUUCUAACGUUGACCCGUAAUCCGGGUUGCGGACAGUGUCUGGUGGGUAGUUUGACUGGGGCGGUCUCCUCCUAAAGAGUAACGGAGGAGCACGAAGGUUGGCUAAUCCUGGUCGGACAUCAGGAGGUUAGUGCAAUGGCAUAAGCCAGCUUGACUGCGAGCGUGACGGCGCGAGCAGGUGCGAAAGCAGGUCAUAGUGAUCCGGUGGUUCUGAAUGGAAGGGCCAUCGCUCAACGGAUAAAAGGUACUCCGGGGAUAACAGGCUGAUACCGCCCAAGAGUUCAUAUCGACGGCGGUGUUUGGCACCUCGAUGUCGGCUCAUCACAUCCUGGGGCUGAAGUAGGUCCCAAGGGUAUGGCUGUUCGCCAUUUAAAGUGGUACGCGAGCUGGGUUUAGAACGUCGUGAGACAGUUCGGUCCCUAUCUGCCGUGGGCGCUGGAGAACUGAGGGGGGCUGCUCCUAGUACGAGAGGACCGGAGUGGACGCAUCACUGGUGUUCGGGUUGUCAUGCCAAUGGCACUGCCCGGUAGCUAAAUGCGGAAGAGAUAAGUGCUGAAAGCAUCUAAGCACGAAACUUGCC